This 75-nucleotide transfer RNA is filed under the name Nitrososphaeria archaeon. RNAcentral's name for it is "tRNA-Tyr". It matches the Rfam family "tRNA". From Rfam's summary of the family: Transfer RNA (tRNA) molecules are approximately 80 nucleotides in length. Their secondary structure includes four short double-helical elements and three loops (D, anti-codon, and T loops). Lineage: Archaea; Thermoproteati; Nitrososphaerota; Nitrososphaeria. The record is from RNAcentral.
CGCGGUAGCUCAGCCUGGUAGAGCUUCCGGCUGUAGACCGGAGUGUCGCAGGUUCAAAUCCUGCCCGCGGGACCA